RNAcentral lists this ribosomal RNA (222 nucleotides) under Triticum aestivum (bread wheat). Its description in RNAcentral is "partial small subunit ribosomal RNA". The record is from RNAcentral. Lineage: Eukaryota; Viridiplantae; Streptophyta; Magnoliopsida; Poales; Poaceae.
AUGAAAAUCAUCAGUUGGAACUGCCAGGGACUCGGGAAUGGCCCGGCAGUUCGAUCUCUCCUCGAGUUGGGGAGAGCGGAGGAUCCCGAUGUGUUGUUCUUGGCGGAGACUAGACUCACAGAGAAGGAGUUGGAGAGUUUUCGGUGGAGGCUAGGGCUUGCUAACUUGUGUGCAUGGAACCCAGUCGGGAGGAGCCGAGGGGUUGCAAUGUUCUGGCAAAGA